GACGAACGCUGGCGGCGUGCUUAACACAUGCAAGUCGAACGGAAAGGCCCUGCUUUUGUGGGGUGCUCGAGUGGCGAACGGGUGAGUAACACGUGAGUAACCUGCCCUUGACUUUGGGACAACUUCAGGAAACUGGGGCUAAUACCGGAUAGGAGCUCCUGCUGCAUGGUGGGGGUUGGAAAGUUUCGGCGGUUGGGGAUGGACUCGCGGCUUAUCAGCUUGUUGGUGGGGUAGUGGCUUACCAAGGCUUUGACGGGUAGCCGGCCUGAGAGGGUGACCGGCCACAUUGGGACUGAGAUACGGACCAGAAUCCUACGGGAGGCAGCAGUGGGGAAUAUUGCACAAUGGGGGGAAGCCUGAUGCAGCAACGCCGCGUGCGGGAUGACGGCCUUCGGGUUGUAAACCGCUUUCGCCUGUGACGAAGCGUGAGUGACGGUAAUGGGUAAAGAAGCACCGGCUAACUACGUG
RNAcentral lists this ribosomal RNA (468 nucleotides) under uncultured bacterium. Its description in RNAcentral is "partial 16S ribosomal RNA". It matches the Rfam family "Bacterial small subunit ribosomal RNA", at positions 28 to 507 of the family's 1533-position model. The record is from RNAcentral.